RNAcentral lists this transfer RNA (61 nucleotides) under Caligus rogercresseyi. Its description in RNAcentral is "tRNA-Thr". Lineage: Eukaryota; Metazoa; Arthropoda; Copepoda; Siphonostomatoida; Caligidae. The record is from RNAcentral.
UAUUUGGUAGUUUAACAAAAACAACUAUUUUGUAAAUAGUAAAUGCCCGCAGCUCAAAUAU